AGAGUUUGAUCCUGGCUCAGGACGAACGCUGGCGGCGUGCCUAAUACAUGCAAGUCGAGCGCAGGAAAUCGACGGAACCCUUCGGGGGGAAGUCGACGGAAUGGGUGAGUAACACGUAAAGAACCUGCCCUCAGGUCUGGGAUAACCACGAGAAAUCGGGGCUAAUACCGGAUGGGUCAUCGGACCGCAUGGUCCGAGGAUGAAAGGCGCUUCGGCGUCGCCUGGGGAUGGCUUUGCGGUGCAUUAGCUAGUUGGUGGGGUAAUGGCCUACCAAGGCGACGAUGGGUAGCCGGCCUGAGAGGGUGAUCGGCCACACUGGAACUGAGACACGGUCCAGACUCCUACGGGAGGCAGCAGUGGGGAAUCUUCCGCAAUGGGCGAAAGCCUGACGGAGCAACGCCGCGUGAGCGAAGAAGGUCUUCGGAUUGUAAAGCUCUGUGAUAUUGGACGAAAGAAGUGCCGCAGGCAAUGGCGGCACCUUGACGGUACAAUAAGAGGAAGCCACGGCUAACUACGUGCCAGCAGCCGCGGUAAUACGUAGGUGGCAAGCGUUAUCCGGAAUUAUUGGGCGUAAAGGGAGCGUAGGCGGUUUGAUAAGUCUGAGGUGAAAGUUCGGGGCUCAACUCCGGAUUGCCUUAGAAACUGUCAGACUAGAGUGCAGGAGAGGGCAAUGGAAUUCCAUGUGUAGCGGUAAAAUGCGUAGAUAUAUGGAGGAACACCAGUGGCGAAGGCGACUUCCUGGCUUGUAACUGACACUGAGGCGCGAAAGCGUGGGGAUCAAACAGGAUUAGAUACCCUGGUAGUCCACGCCGUAAACGAUGAGUGCUAGGUGUCGGGGGUAUCGACCCCCUCGGUGCCACAGCUAACGCAAUAAGCACUCCGCCUGGGGAGUACGGUCGCAAGACUGAAACUCAAAGGAAUUGACGGGGGCCCGCACAAGCGGUGGAGUAUGUGGUUUAAUUCGAAGCAACGCGAAGAACCUUACCAAGUCUUGACAUCCCCCUGACCGGUACAUAACGUGUUCUUAGUUUACUAAGACACAGAGACAGGUGGUGCAUGGUUGUCGUCAGCUCGUGUCGUGAGAUGUUGGGUUAAGUCCCGCAACGAGCGCAACCCCUACAGCUAGUUGCCAGCACAUAAUGGUGGGAACUCUAGCAGAACUGCCGUUGACAAAACGGAGGAAGGUGGGGAUGACGUCAAAUCAUCAUGCCCCUUAUGUCCUGGGCUACACACGUGCUACAAUGGCCGGUACAACGGGCAGCGAAAGAGCGAUCUGGAGCGAAUCCUAAAAAGCCGAUCCCAGUUCGGAUUGGAGUCUGCAACUCGACUCCAUGAAGUUGGAAUCGCUAGUAAUCGCGGAUCAGCAUGCCGCGGUGAAUACGUUCCCGGGCCUUGUACACACCGCCCGUCACACCACGAAAGUCUGCAACACCCGAAGCCGGUGAGGUAACCCGUAAGGGAGCUAGCCGUCGAAGGUGGGGCCGAUAAUUGGGGUGAAGUCGUAACAAGGUAACCC
This 1516-nucleotide ribosomal RNA is filed under the name uncultured bacterium. RNAcentral describes it as "partial 16S ribosomal RNA". It matches the Rfam family "Bacterial small subunit ribosomal RNA". The record is from RNAcentral.